UUUGAAUUACAUCACUCACUUUGUGCAAAAAGGUUUGUUGGAUCACAAAUGUCUAUGGCCAUUGUGGUUGCAGAGAAAGGAAAUUGGUUUGGCCCGAAUUGUCUUCCUUGGCUGAUUGUUCGUCCGUGGCCUGGUGCAUAGGUGGGGAUUUUAAUAUCACUCGUUGGGCCCGGGAAAGAUUUCCUUUUGGCAGAAGUACUAGAGGAAUGUCAUUAUUCAAUAAGUUUAUUGACAUGGUUUCUCUCAUGGAAAUUCCAUUGCAAAACGGAAGGUUCACUUGGUCUAGAGACGGUAAUUCUCCUUGAAGAUCAUUAUUAGACAGAUUCUUCAUAAAUCAGAUGUGGGAUGUUUGUUUUGAAAAUUCUCGGGUUUCUCGAAAAGCACGCAUCUUCUCGGAUCACUUUCCUUUAUUCUUGGAGGCUGGUUCUUUUCUUUGGGGUCCCUCUCCUUUUCGGUUUUGUAACAGCUGGUUGGUGUCCAGUGAUUCCAAUCAGAUUAUUGUUGAAACAGUGAGCAACUCUAACUUCCAGGGAUGGGCUGGUUUCAUUCUUCAUGAGCAGUUGAGAUCAGUUAAAUUGGCAGUAAAAGCUUGGAAUAUUGCUGCGCAAGCUAAGGUAAAAAAAAAAACAGAGAAAUCCUUGAUGUCAAAAUUAGAAAAAUAUGAUUCUGUGGCUGAGUUGAUUGGAUUAAAUCAAGAAGAGUUGAAUUCUAGAGCUGCUUUGCAAGCGGAAUUACUUAGUAUUUAUCAAAAUGAAGAGCGUAAUUUUAUUCAGAAGAGUAAACUCAAUUGGCUUUCUUUGGGUGAUGAGAAUACGGGCUUCUUCCACCGCUUUCUAAAUGCGAAAAAAAGAAGGAACCUCAUAACUGAAUUAAAAGAUGAUGAUGGGAUUGUCUCGACUUCAUUCGGCGACAUUGAAAGGAUUGUGCUGGAAUUUUUUGAGUCACUUUAUACCAGAAUUCCGGGGGACAGCUUCAUCCCUAUUAACAGUAAUUGGUCUUGUGUUUCCUCAAUUCAGAAUGAGGCUCUUGUUACCCAAUUUUCAGUGGAGGAGAUCUUUAAGGCAUUAAAGGCACUUGGCAACAACAAAGCUCCGGGCCCGGAUGGCUUCACAGUGAAGUUCCUAAUCACCCAAUGGUCUAUUUUCAAGGAUAUCUUCAAAUCACUAAUGUCUGAUUUCCACAGAAAUGGAAGAUUAAAUGCUUGCAUCCAAGAAAACUUCAUUUGUUUAGUGCAGAAAAAAGAGAAUGUGACUCUAGUCAAGGAUUUCCGUCCAAUCAGCCUUACUACGUUAGCAUACAAGGUCGUUGCAAAGGUUUUAUCUUAACGUCUAAAACAAGUUAUGGAUGCAAUUAUAAGCCCCACUCAAAGCGCCUUUAUUGAAGGUAGGAAAAUUCUUGACCCAAUAUUAAUUGCUAACGAGGCCGUGGAAGAUUAUAGGGCAAAACGGAAAAAAGGAUGGAUUUUAAAACUUGACUUGGAAAAAGCCUUUGAUAGGGUGAAUUGGAACUUUUUAGAAAAAAAUUUAUCUUUGAAAAAGUUUAGUUCCAAAUGGAUAUCAUGGAUAAUGAGCUGCCCAAAAAAUCCAAAGUAUUCGGUCUUCAUCAAUGGUAAGCCUAGAGGCCGGACAACAGCAUCUUGAGGUAUCCGCCAAGGGUACCCCCUCUCCCCCUUUUUAUUCCUCCUAGUAAGUGAGGUUUUAGGAGAAAUCAUAAACAAGCUUCAUAUUAACAGCCAGUUUGAAGGUUUCCUUGUUGGCAAAGACUUGAUCCACCUCCCUUUGCUUCAAUUUGUCGAUGAUACUCUUCUCUUUUGUAAGUAUGAUGUGAAGAUGGUCCUUAAACUUUAAAACGUCAUUAGAUUAUUCGAAUGGUGUUCGGGGCAGAAAGUAAACUGGGAAAAAUCAGCCCUUAGCGGCGUUAAUGUGGGAGAGGAAGAUUUGUUUCAAACAGCAAAUCUGAUAGGGUGCAAGGUAGAAAAGCUUCUGAUUAUAUAUUUAGGUCUCCCUUUGGGAGGCUACCCUCGACAAAAGUCUUUUUGGCAACCAGUCAUUGAUCGAAUUCACAAGAAACUUGAAAGGUGGAAAAGAUAUAACAUCUCUAGAGGCGGAAGACAAACCUUAUGCAACUCAGUUCUGGUUAGCCCUCCUACAUACUACCUACUUUAUUUUCUAUACCUGAAAAUGUGGCUGCCUCUUUGUUAAAGUGAGUUUUUUGAGUGAAGGAAAAGGUCUGCAAUACUCCUUGAAAGACAGGGGAAGCAGAAGAUUGGUGUUCUAUAUUCUGGUUUGCUUAUUAGUACUUUGUUGUUCGGAAUUUUGGAUUAGGAGGUUUUCUUUGUUUGAUGUUUGUGAAUUAUAUGUAACGUGACUCAUUUUCUGAGGUUCACGGUUUGCUUAUGUUGUAAGUUGUGUUUGAAUUAUCAAUAUAAUAGAAACACUACAUCAGUGUUCUAUCAGGAUGUCAUCCUUGGAAUGCAAUGGCUGCACACGUUGGGGUAACCGAAGUGGAUUGGCGGAAACUCACUUUAACUUUCAUACAAAAUGAAAAGAAUGUUGUUAUAAGGGGUGACCCGAGUUUGACAAAGACUAGAGUGAGUCUGUAACACAUGAUGGAGACAUGGACACCAUCUGAUUAAGGUUUCUUGACAAAAUGUCGAGCUAUGGAGGGAGGAAUGACAUUUACCGAACUAUAUGGAAUUGAUGAUGUUCCUACAUUUCAAGAGUUACUACCAGCAGACAAUUUUGGCUAUCCUAAAAAUCCAGCAACAAAGAAGUGGGAAGUGCUUGUUAGUUGGAAAGGAAUACCACCUCAUGAGGCUACAUGGGAGAAUUGUGAUGAUUUUACACAAAAGCUUCCUCAUUUCCCACCUUGAGAACAAGGUGUCUUUGGAGAGGGAGAGUAAUGAUAGACCACCAAUUGCAAUACAAUAUAGCAGAAGAAAGACAAGUGGAAUUGCACGUGCACGGGUGAUGGAAUUGGAGGAAGUGGAAACCACCUUAGUGGGGACAACAGUUAGUUACAGGGGGAGGUUAAAAGGGAGAGAUGGAAGGAAAGAUGGGGGUUGGUUAAUCAGUUUCUGGAAGUGGAGGGGCUGUAUUUUCUGGAGAGCAGAAUUACAGAAGUUGUUCGGUUACUUUAAUCUUAGAAAGUGUUUUCCAUUAUCGUAAACUACUUUUGAUGUUUGAAUGUUUUAUUUUGUACUUGGUUAUUGUCUGUAAUAGUACUUAUUUGUUCUGUGCUUUCAAAGACUGGUUUGAGUAUUGUAUUCUGUAAUAGUUUGGUUGCUUGAUGAACAAAUAAGAACCAUUACUUGGUGUUCUAUCAGCUUCUCAAUCAAGCAUUCACAUCUCAAUAAGGUAUUAUACAUGCAAUCAAACAAUCACAACAUACAUACCAUUUACUCAAAACGACCUAAAACAUGCUCAAAACGUGUCUAAGUUUCACUGGAACUUUGAAAACGACCUAAAACAGCUUACGUGUAGGUUCGUAACUCAUAACCUACGAAAAAAGUUCAAAUAUUGUGAAAAAAGCACUACAAGACCCAAAAUGGCAACCAAGUGUGUAAGUGCAACAAACUUAGUUCAAACCAACCUAAAACGUGCUCAAAACGUGUCUAGGUAUUACUUGAGUUUUCAAAACGACCUAGCAAAUCCUAAGUGUAAGUUCGUAACUCAUAAUCUACCAAAAAGGUUGAAAAAAGCAUUUCAAGACCAAAAAUGACAACCAAGUGCAACAAACUCAAUCUAACCUAAAAUGAAUUCAAAACGUGUGUAAGUAUCACUUGAAUUUUCAAAACGACCAAGUAAUGCUUAAGUGUAAGUUUGUAACUCACAACCUACCAAAAUUUCAAAAAGUGUGAAAAAAGUACAUCAAGACCCAACAUGUCAAUCAAAUGUGUUUAAAACUUAGUUUCAAACCAACCUAAAACGAGUUCAAAACGUGUCUAAGUAUCACUUUAACUUUCAAAACGACCUAAAAAAGCUUACGUGUAGGUUCGUAACUCAUAACCUACGAAAAAAGUUCAAAUAUUGUGAAAAAAGCACUACAAGACCCAAGAUGGCAACCAAGUGUGUAAGUGCAACAAACUUAGUUCAAACCAACCUAAAACGUGCUCAAAACGUGUCUAGGUAUUACUUGAGUUUUCAAAACGACCUAGCAAAUCCUAAGUGUAAGUUCGUAACUCAUAAUCUACCAAAAAGGUCGAAAAAAGCAUUUCAAGACCAAAAAUGACAACCAAGUGCAACAAACUCAAUCUAACCUAAAAUGUAUUCAAAACGUGUGUAAGUAUCACUUGAAUUUUCAAAACGACCAAGCAAUGCUUAAGUGUAAGUUUGUAACUCACAACCUACCAAAAUUUCAAAAAGUGUGAAAAAAGUACAUCAAGACCCAACAUGUCAAUCAAAUGUGUUUAAAACUUAGUUUCAAACCAACCUAAAACGAGUUCAAAACGUGUCUAAGUAUCACUUUAACUUUCAAAACGACCUAAAAAAGCUUACGUGUAGGUUCGUAACUCAUAACCUACGAAAAAAGUUCAAAUAUUGUGAAAAAAGCACUACAAGACCCAAGAUGGCAACCAAGUGUGUAAGUGCAACAAACUUAGUUCAAACCAACCUAAAACGUGCUCAAAACGUGUCUAGGUAUUACUUGAGUUUUCAAAACGACCUAGCAAAUCCUAAGUGUAAGUUCGUAACUCAUAAUCUACCAAAAAGGUCGAAAAAAGCAUUUCAAGACCAAAAAUGACAACCAAGUGCAACAAACUCAAUCUAACCUAAAAUGUAUUCAAAACGUGUGUAAGUAUCACUUGAAUUUUCAAAACGACCAAGCAAUGCUUAAGUGUAAGUUUGUAACUCACAACCUACCAAAAUUUCAAAAAGUGUGAAAAAAGUACAUCAAGACCCAACAUGUCAAUCAAAUGUGUUUAAAACUUAGUUUCAAACCAACCUAAAACGAGUUCAAAACGUGUCUAAGUAUCACUUUAACUUUCAAAACGACCUAAAAAAGCUUACGUGUAGGUUCGUAACUCAUAACCUACGAAAAAAGUUCAAAUAUUGUGAAAAAAGCACUACAAGACCCAAGAUGGCAACCAAGUGUGUAAGUGCAACAAACUUAGUUCAAACCAACCUAAAACGUGCUCAAAACGUGUCUAGGUAUUACUUGAGUUUUCAAAACGACCUAGCAAAUCCUAAGUGUAAGUUCGUAACUCAUAAUCUACCAAAAAGGUCGAAAAAAGCAUUUCAAGACCAAAAAUGACAACCAAGUGCAACAAACUCAAUCUAACCUAAAAUGUAUUCAAAACGUGUGUAAGUAUCACUUGAAUUUUCAAAACGACCAAGCAAUGCUUAAGUGUAAGUUUGUAACUCACAACCUACCAAAAUUUCAAAAAGUGUGAAAAAAGUACAUCAAGACCCAACAUGUCAAUCAAAUGUGUUUAAAACUUAGUUUCAAACCAACAUAAAACGAGUUCAAAACGUGUCUAAGUUUCACUUGAACUUUCAAAACGACCUAACAAAUAUUCAAUACAAGUUCAUAAGUCAUAACCUAGCAAAAAGUUCAAAGUUUUUGAAAAAGACACUCCAAAAACCCAAAGUGUCAAGUGUGUAAGUGCAACGAACUUAGUUCUAUACAAACCUAACAAGUAUUGAAAACACGUAUAAGUUUUCAAACACCCUAACAACGCUUAAGUGUAAGUUUAUAACUCAUAACUUACCAAAAAUUUCAAAAAGUGUGAAAAAAAAUCUUUCAAGACUCAAAAUGGCAACCAUGGCUGUAUGUAAAACUAACUUAGUUUGUAACAACCUAAAAGGUGUUCAAAAAAUGUUCAAGUAUCACUCGAACUUUAAAAACGACCUAAUAAUGCUUUAGUGUUACUUCAUAACUCAUAACCUACCAAACAGUUCAAAAAAUGUAGAAAAAGCACUCAAAAAUCCAAAAUGGCAACCAAGUGUGUAAGUGCAACAAACUUAGUCUCAACUUUAAAAUUAGUGCGAGUUGGGAAAUGUAUUAACUCAAGCAUGAUGUAAAAACUUGAAACGACUUAAAUAUUUAUUCACCAUCACAUAAAAAACAGUAACUAAAUAUUAGAUAACAUGUGUAAAUAAAGGGAGAAUCACCUUUCUAGCAGUAGCUUUAGAGUAAGACCAAACACAUCCAUCCUCCUACUUGUAAAUCUGCUCGAUUGUCUACUUUGUUCUACACUCGUCAUUUCACCGUCUCAGGCCAUCCAUUGAAUUGGCCACCCAGCCUUGGCAUACAAGAGUAUGUCUCAGCCUGUUAACAAAUACCACUAAAACUAAGCAAGACGAAGAAAAAAGUUUUCAAAAAAUUACCUAACUUUUAGGUCUUCAUUUGACCUUUAAGUACUUCUGUCUUCUCCUUCAACUCUUUGACAGAUUGCUGAAAUUAUGUGUUUCUGCAAUGUUUACCAGAACAUGAAAGAUUCAUUAUGAAAAUAAAUACCAUGAAGAAAUAGUAAAACAGUCAAUACAAGAAGAAAAAAGUUCACUUGAAAACGACCUAAAACAGUAUCACUUGAACAAAAUGUGUCUAAGUAUCACUUGAACUUUCAAAACGACCUAAAACAAGCUUACGUGUAGGUUCGUAACUCAUAACCUACGAAAAAAGUUCCAAUAGUGUGAAAAAAGCACUACAAGACCCAAAAUGGCUACCAAGUGUGUAAGUGUAACAAACUUAGUUCAAACCAACCUAAAACGUGCUCAAAACGUGUCUAGGUAUUACUUGAGUUUUCAAAACGACCUAGCAAAUCCUAAAUGUAGGUUCGUAACUCAUAAUCUACCAAAAAGGUCGAAAAAAGCAUUUCAAGACCAAAAAUGACAACCAAGUGCAACAAACUCAAUCAAACGUGUGUACGUAUCACUUCAACUUUCAAAACGACCAAACAAUGCUUAAGUGUAAGUUUGUAACUCGCAACCUACCAAAAUUUCAAAAGUGUAAAAAAAGCACUUCAAGACCCAAAACGGCAACGAAGUAUGUAAGUGCAACGGACUUAGUUUCAAGCCAUCCUAAAAAGAGUGCAAAACGUGUCUAAGAUUUCAAACCGACCAAACAAUACUCAAGCGUAAGUUCGUAACUCACAACCUAAAAAAAUUUUCAAAAAGUGUGAAAAAAAGUACUUCAAGACCCAACAUUUCAAUCAAAUGUGUAAGUGCAACAAACUUAGUUUCAAACCAACGCAAAAUGUGUUUAAAAACGACCUAACAAUCAUUAAGUGUAAGUUCGUAACUCAACAAACUAACAAAAAGUUCAAAAUGCGUGAAAAAUGCACUUGGAGACCUAAAAUGGCAACCAAGUAUGCAAGUGAAACAAACUUAGUCUUAAACAAAUCUAAAAAAAUUUCAAACCGUGUUUAAGUAUCACUUGAACUUUCAGAACGACCUAAGAAUGUUUAUUUGUAAGUUCGUCACUCAUAACCUACCAAAAAGUUCAAGAAGUAUGGAAAAAAAGGAAACACUACAGGACCCAAAAUGGCAACCAAGUGCGCAAGUGCAACAAACUUAGUUCCAAACCAACCUAAAAAGUGGUCAAGGCGUGUCUAAGUAUCACUUGGACUUUCAAAACAACCUAACGAAGUUUAAGUGUAAGUUGGUAACCCAUAGCCUACCAAAAAGUUCAAAAAGUGUGGAAAGGGCACUUCAAGACCGAAAAUGGCAACCAAUUGGAUAAGGUCAACAAACUUAGUUUCAAACCAACCUAAACCGAGUUAAAAAUGAAUUAUGGAAGUGUGGCUGCUCCUUUGACUCAAUUAUUGAAGAAAGGAGCAUAUGAAUGGACUGUUGCAGCUGCUGAAGCUUUUGAGAAUUUAAAGAUGGCUACGAUGGCUCUCCCAAUCUUAGCACUGCCAGAUUUUUUCUUACCAUUUGAAAUAGAGACCGAUGCUUCUGGAUACGGGGUAGGUGCUGUCUUAAUUCAAAAUCAUCGGCCAAUUGCUUAUUUUAGCCAGACAUUAGCUAUGAGGAAUCGUGCUAAACCAGUUUAUGAACGGGAAUUAAUGGCUGUAGUUUUGGCUGUGCAACGCUGUAGACCUUAUCUUUUGGGCAAGAGGUUUGAAGUGAAAACUGAUCAACGAUCAUUGAAACUUUUAUUGGAACAAAGGGUUAUCCAACCUCAACAUCAGAGGUGGAUUGUGUAAGACCUCCAAUUAUUCAUACAUAUCAAAGGAGGGGCAGAAAAGUAAUUGAACAAAUUAAUAAUGAGGAAGGAAAAAGAGGAGGAGAUCGUGCAGGUGGGGCCCAGGCACAGAAAUAAGAGAAAGAUGAGAGAAGGAAUAUAAAUAGGUCUUUUAGGUCUAAGGGAGGUAGGUUUUAUUUUUAUCCUGAAGUUGGCGGCUGCUUAGCCUAGAGGAAUAUCCAGUCUUUCCCUAGAGGAAGCUGGGUUUGUCUUCAUUAUCCCUUGUUUUUCUUGAAUCUUUAUGUUUUUCUGUACUCAUUUUGGCUAUAUAUAAAUAAAGAUAGCAGAGGGCUACCUCUGUUUUUUGGCCAUUGUAAGGGAGAAGUAGUGAAGUAAGCAAGUUGAAUCCUUACAUAUUGGUAUCAGAGCCUCCACACUGGGGGUGAUCACGCGUCUGAUGGCUCAAAGACAGAUAGAAGAACGGGUAGAAGGUACUGAAAAGGAAAUUAUGAGUCUGAAGGAGAUGAUGCUGGAAAUGAAGAAAUCGAUGGAUCGAAUGACAGACGAGCUAAGAGAAAACCAUGGUGCUAAGAAAAAAGAAGAAGCAGGGACUACGGACGACAUCAGGUUGAAACUGAAGGGAAAACUGGAAGAGGCCGGAACCGCAGUCGAGUCGGGUGGAAGCAGCGCAGACCGAAGUAAGUACAAAAAAUUAGAAAUGCCACUGUUUACAGGGGUGAACCCUGAAUCCUGGGCGUACCGAGCAGAACAUUUUUUUGAUAUAAAUGACUUACCGGAAGCUGAGAAGGUCAAAGUAGCAGUCGUGAGUUUUGGACAGGAAGAGGUAGACUGGUUUAGAUGGAGUAAUCGUAGAAAGAGGGUGGAAUCUUGGGAGGACUUGAAGGAAAGGAUGUUUGAUUUCUUUAAUGAUACAGGACAGCAGAGCUUGGGGGCAAGAUUAAUCCGUAUUAAGCAAGAAGGCUCAUACAGCGAGUACGUUAAGAAGUUUGUUACAUACUCAGCCCCCCUCCCGGACAUGGCAGAAAGUGUUCUGCUGGAUGCGUUUUUAACGGGUCUGGAACCCUCACUGCAAGCGGAAGUAAUCAGCAGACACCCUCAAACUUUAGAGGAAUGUAUGAAGGAAGCUCAGCUGGUGAAUGAUAGGAAUAUAGCAUUAAAACUGGCGAUGGAAGAGUUGGAUAUAGUUGAGCCCAAAAGGAAUGAGAACAGCAGCAAAUUUCAAGGAAAAAACGAGAAGACAGAAAGUAAAAAGACAGAGUUUGUGAUGAAGCAGGUAACUAUUCCAUUGAAAAAUGAUUACCAGAAAAAAGAUCCCCCCAAUUAAACGGCUGUCGGAUACGGAAUUUAGAGCAAGGCUGGAUAAGGGGCUUUGUUUCAGAUGUAAUGAAAAGUACGCCCCAGGCCAUCGAUGUAAAGGGAGAGAAAAAAGAGAGUUGAUGCUCCUUAUACUAAAUGAGGAAGAAGACCACAAAAGGGAAGAGGAUACAGAGGAUGAGGCAAGCGAAGUAAUAGAACUGAAUCAUCUGGAAUUGAAUAUGGAUAACCCUAUUGAAUUGAGGUUGAUCACGGGAGUUACAUCAAAGGGGACGAUGAAAUUAAAAGGACAUGUGAACGGAAGGGAAGUAGUUAUUCUGAUUGACAGCGGGGCGACCAAUAACUUCAUCAGCCAAGUGUUGGUAGAUGAACUACAGCUGAGCAUCGAUCCGGGAACUCGUUUUGGAGUUACCAUUGGGAAUGGCAACCAAUGUGAAGGAAGUGGGAUUUGCAAGAGGGUGAAGGUGAAGUUAAAAGAGUUAACAAUCGUAGCAGAUUUCCUAGCGGUAGAGUUAGGAACGGUAGACUUGGUGCUUGGGAUGCAAUGGCUAGAUUCGACAGGAACCAUGAAGGUUCACUGGCCAUCCCUAACCAUGACGUUUUGGACGAAGGGUAGAAGAAUAAUCCUAAAAGGUGACCCUUCUCUAACGAAGUCAGAAUGUUCAUUGAGAACCUUAGAGAAAACGUGGCAAUCCGGGGACCAAGGAUUCCUCUUGGAAUUCCAAAACUAUGAAGUAAACUAUGAAGGAGAAUCAGAAACAGAAGCUGAAUUGAAGGGAAAGGAAGAAGGAUUACCCAUGGUUCAGCGACUGCUCGAGCAAUAUGCAGAUGUCUUUAGGUUGCCCACGGGUUUACCGCCAAGGAGAGCCAUAGACCAUCGCAUUCUGACCGUGGCCGAUCAGAAACCAAUUAAUGUAAGACCAUAUAAGUAUGGCCAUGUACAAAAGAAGAGAUUGAAAAAUUGGUGUUAGAAAUGUUACAAGCUGGGGUGAUUCGUCCAAGCCGCAGCCCAUAUUCGAGCCCGGUCCUCUUAGUGAAGAAAAAAGAUGGAGGGUGGAGAUUUUGUGUAGAUUACAGGAAACUCAAUCAAGUAACGGUGGCUGAUAAAUUUCCAAUUCCCGUGAUCGAAGAACUCUUAGAUGAACUUCAUGGUGCGACAGUUUUCUCAAAGUUAGACCUUAAAUCUGGAUACCACCAGAUUAGGAUGAGGGAGGAAGAUGUGGAGAAAACAGCUUUCCGCACGCAUGAAGGACAUUAUGAGUUCUUGGUGAUGCCUUUCGGCCUUACGAAUGCUCCUGCCACCUUCCAAUCUCUCAUGAACGAGGUGUUCAAACCAUUCCUUCAAAGGUGUGUCCUGGUUUUUUUUUUGAUGACAUUCUAGUUUAUAGUGUGGACAUAGAUGAGCACAUGAAACAUUUAGGAAUGGUUUUUGCUAUCUUGAGGGACCAUGAAUUGUUUGCAAAUAGGUCUAAAUGUGUCAUUUCUCAUUCCCAAGUUCAAUAUUUGGGUCAUCUGAUUUCCAGCAGAGGAGUGGAGGCUGAUGAGGACAAGAUUCGCAGUAUGGUAAAUUGGCCACGGCCGAAAGAUAUAACUGGGCUGAGGGGAUUCCUUGGAUUGACUGGGUAUUAUAGAAGAUUUGUGAAAAGCUAUGGAGAAAUAGCUGCACCCUUAACCAAAUUACUUCAGAAAAAUGCAUUCCAUUGGAAUGAGGAAGCUACAAUAGCGUUUGACCAGCUGAAGCUAGCAAUGACAACCUUACCGGUAUUAGCAUUGCCGGAUUGGUCUCAGCCCUUCACAAUCGAAACUGAUGCUUCAGGAGUAGGUUUAGGUGCAGUUUUAUCACAGAAUGGUCAUCCCAUCGCAUUCUUCAGCCAGAAACUGUCCCCAAGAGCCCAGGGUAAGUCGAUCUAUGAAAGGGAAUUGAUGGCGGUUGUCCUUUCGGUGCAAAAAUGGAGACAUUAUCUCCUGGGCAGAAAGUUCACAAUUAUUUCAGAUCAGAAGGCUCUGAAAUUUCUGUUAGAACAGAGGGAAGUUCAGCCUCAAUUCCAAAAGUGGCUCACAAAACUUUUGGGGUAUGACUUUGAGAUCUUAUACCAGCCGGGUCUGCAGAAUAAGGUGGCGGAUGCUCUCUCAAGGAAGGACCAUUCGGUGGAGUUAAAUACAAUGACAACCACAGGCAUAGUUGAUAUAGAGAUAAUAGCGAAGGAAGUUGAAAUGGAUCAAGAACUUCAGAAAAUUAUUGCCGAACUUAAGGGAGAGGUGGAUCAAGGGGGAAAUACCAGUGGAACAAUGGCAGGCUGCUAUAUAAAGGAAGGAUGGUGCUGCCGCGAAAUUCCUCCCUCAUUCCGAGUCUUCUACACACGUUCCAUGAUUCCAUAUUAGGAGGGCACUCGGGAUUCUUGAGAACCUAUAAAAGAAUGAGUGGGGAACUAUUUUGGAAAGGAAUGAAGGCUGAUAUCAAGAGAUAUGUAGAAGAAUGUGACACUUGUCAACGUAAUAAGUUCGAAGCUACAAAGCCUGCGGGAGUUCUGCAACCCAUUCCUAUUCCCGACAAGAUAUUGGAGGAUUGGACCAUGGAUUUUAUUGAAGGGCUGCCAAUAGCAGGAGGUUCCAACGUGAUUAUGGUAGUCGUCGACCGCCUAAGUAAGUACUCCUACUUCUUGCCUCUGAAACACCCGUACACAGCCAAGCAAGUGGCUUCAAUUUUUUUGGAAAAAGUGGUCAGCAAACAUGGAAUACCCAAGUCCAUUAUUACCGACCGUGAUAAGAUCUUCCUUAGCAAUUUCUGGAAGGAGUUGUUCACUACCAUGGGCACCAUUUUGAAGAGAAGCACGGCAUUCCAUCCCCAAACCGAUGGACAAACCGAGAGGGUAAACAGAUGCCUAGAGACCUAUUUGCGAUGCUUUUGCAAUGAACAACCGAAGAAAUGGGAUAAACUGAUCCCUUGGGCGGAAUUAUGGUAUAACACAACCUUCCACGCAUCCACCAAAACUACUCCUUACCAAUCUGUUUUUGGAAGAACUCCCCCGCCACUGCUGUCAUAUGGAUGGAAGCAAUCUCCUAACAAUGACGUAGAAGUCAUGUUGAAGGAGAGAGAUUUAGCACUCAAUGCACUGAAGGAAAACCUAUGCAUAGCUCAAAAUAGAAUGAAGAAAAUGGCAGACCGAAACCGCAGGGAGCUCAAAUUCAAAAUUGGGGAUGAAGUGUAUUUGAAGCUACGACCCUAUCGACAAAGAUCACUAGCUCGGAAGAAAUGUGAAAAGCUAUCCCCAAAAUUUUAUGGGCCGUAUGAGGUUAUUGAAGAGAUAGGAGAGGUCGCUUAUCGAUUGCAACUACCGCCCGAGGCCGCCAUUCACAAUGUCUUUCACGUGUCUCAACUGAAACUGAAGUUGGGAAAACAACAUGUAGUCCAGCAACAACAGCCUAUACUAACUGAGGAUUUUGAACUACAAUUGUGGCCGGAAAACGUGCUGGGAAUAAGGUGGAACAAGGAGCUAGGAGGCAAUGAGUGGCUGAUCAAAUGGAAGAACUUACCAGACAGUGAAGCAACGUGGGAAUCAGUUUACCUAUUGAAUCAGCAGUUCCCUCAGUUUCACCUUGAGGACAAGGUGAACUUGGAGCCCCGGGGUAUUGUAAGACCUCCAAUUAUUCAUACAUAUCAAAGGAGGGGCAGAAAAGUAAUUGAACAAAUUAAUAAUGAGGAAGGAAAAAGAGGAGGAGAUCGUGCAGGUGGGGCCCAGGCACAGAAAUAAGAGAAAGAUGAGAGAAGGAAUAUAAAUAGGUCUUUUAGGUCUAGGGGAGGUAGGUUUUAUUUUUAUCCUGAAGUUGGCGGCUGCUUAGCCUAGAGGAAUAUCCAGUCUUUCCCUAGAGGAAGCUGGGUUUGUCUUCAUUAUCCCUUGUUUUUCUUGAAUCUUUAUGUUUUUCUGUACUCAUUUUGGCUAUAUAUAAAUAAAGAUAGCAGAGGGCUACCUCUGUUUUUUGCCAUUGUAAGGGAGAAGUAGUGAAGUAAGCAAGUUGAAUCCUUACAGAUUGCUAAGCUUCUUGGCUACAAUUUUGAUGUCGUGUAUAAACCGGGACUAGAAAACAAAGCAGCAGAUGCCUUGUCUCGUGUCCCUCCUACUGCCCAACUUAAUCAACUUACUGUUGAGAUCAGUUAAAUUGGCAGUCCCCAACACUGAAGUUGACCCUAAAUUAGUCCCAGAAAUUAAUGGGAUGGAUCUGAAUGUCUUGUUCAAUGAUGAAGAUAUUCUCCCUAUUAAAAUUCCCCUGGAUUUGCCUAAAGAUUUAGUGUCUAUAGUCGGUGAUUGUGGAAUCAUUCUGGCUUAAAUUAGAUGUGCAACUGCCUUCUCCUCCUCCCAGUCAUUAUUAAGGUUGUCUCCUGGAACACUAAGGGUUUGAACGACUCCUCUAAACGUGCAGCACUUAAAAAAGUCAUCAACAAUUGUAGUCAUGAUUCAAGAAUCUAAGAAGGACACCUUGAACUCGGCUUUUAUAAAAUCAUUGUGGAGUUGUAAGGAUAUUGGCUGGGAUUAUGUGGCUUCUGUUGGAUCUUCUGGGGGAAUUCUUACCAUGUGGGACAGCAGUAAAAUAUCUGUAACAGAGGUCAUUAAAAGACGCUUCUCUUUGUCAAUCAAAUGCCUCACUUUGUGCAAAAAGGUUUGUUGGAUCACAACUGUCUAUGGCCCUUGUGGUUGCAGAGAAAGGAAAUUGGUUUGGCCCGAAUUGUCUUCCUUGGCUGAUUGUUCGGCCGUGGCCUGGUGCAUAGGUGGGGAUUUUAAUAUCACUCGUUGGGCCCGGGAAAGAUUUCCUUUUGGCAGAAGUACUAGAGGAAUGUCAUUAUUCAAUAAGUUUAUUGCAUGGUUUCUCUCAUGGAAAUUCCAUUGCAAAACGGAAGGUUCACUUGGUCUAGAGACGGUAAUUCUCCUUGAAGAUCAUUAUUAGACAGAUUCUUCAUAAAUCAGAUGUGGGAUGUUUGUUUUGAAAAUUCUCGGGUUUCUCGAAAAGCACGCAUCUUCUCGGAUCACUUUCCUUUAUUCUUGGAGGCUGGUUCUUUUCUUUGGGGUUCCUCUCCUUUUCGGUUUUGUAACAGCUGGUUGGUGUCCAGUGAUUCUAAUCAGAUUAUUGUUGAAACAGUGAGCAACUCUAACUUCCAGGGAUGGGCUGGUUUCAUUCUUCAUGAGCAGUUGAGAUCAGUUAAAUUGGCAGUAAAAGCUUGGAAUAUUGCUGCGCAAGCUAAGGUAAAAAAAAAAACAGAGAAAUCCUUGAUGUCAAAAUUAGAAAAAUAUGAUUCUGUGGCUGAGUUGAUUGGAUUAAAUCAAGAAGAGUUGAAUUCUAGAGCUGCUUUGCAAGCGGAAUUACUUAGUAUUUAUCAAAAUGAAGAGCGUAAUUUUAUUCAGAAGAGUAAACUCAAUUGGCUUUCUUUGGGUGAUGAGAAUACGGGCUUCUUCCACCGCUUUCUAAAUGCGAAAAAAAGAAGGAACCUCAUAACUGAAUUAAAAGAUGAUGAUGGGAUUGUCUCGACUUCAUUCGGCGACAUUGAAAGGAUUGUGCUGGAAUUUUUUGAGUCACUUUAUACCAGAAUUCCGGGGGACAGCUUCAUCCCUAUUAACAGUAAUUGGUCUUGUGUUUCCUCAAUUCAGAAUGAGGCUCUUGUUACCCAAUUUUCAGUGGAGGAGAUCUUUAAGGCAUUAAAGGCACUUGGCAACAACAAAGCUCCGGGCCCGGAUGGCUUCACAGUGAAGUUCCUAAUCGCCCAAUGGUCUAUUUUCAAGGAUAUCUUCAAAUCACUAAUGUCUGAUUUCCACAGAAAUGGAAGAUUAAAUGCUUGCAUCCAAGAAAACUUCAUUUGUUUAGUGCAGAAAAAAGAGAAUGUGACUCUAGUCAAGGAUUUCCGUCCAAUCAGCCUUACUACGUUAGCAUACAAGGUCGUUGCAAAGGUUUUAUCUGAACGUCUAAAACAAGUUAUGGAUGCAAUUAUAAGCCCCACUCAAAGCGCCUUUAUUGAAGGUAGGAAAAUUCUUGACCCAAUAUUAAUUGCUAACGAGGCCGUGGAAGAUUAUAGGGCAAAACGGAAAAAAGGAUGGAUUUUAAAACUUGACUUGGAAAAAGCCUUUGAUAGGGUGAAUUGGAACUUUUUAGAAAAAAAUUUAUCUUUGAAAAAGUUUAGUUCCAAAUGGAUAUCAUGGAUAAUGAGCUGCCCAAAAAAUCCAAAGUAUUCGGUCUUCAUCAAUGGUAAGCCUAGAGGCCGGAUAACAGCAUCUUGAGGUAUCCGCCAAGGGUACCCCCUCUCCCCCUUUUUAUUCCUCCUAGUAAGUGAGGUUUUAGGAGAAAUCAUAAACAAGCUUCAUAUUAACAGCCAGUUUGAAGGUUUCCUUGUUGGCAAAGACUUGAUCCACCUCCCUUUGCUUCAAUUUGUCGAUGAUACUCUUCUCUUUUGUAAGUAUGAUGUGAAGAUGGUCCUUAAACUUUAAAACGUCAUUAGAUUAUUCGAAUGGUGUUCGGGGCAGAAAGUAAACUGGGAAAAAUCAGCCCUUAGCGGCGUUAAUGUGGGAGAGGAAGAUUUGUUUCAAACAGCAAAUCUGAUAGGGUGCAAGGUAGAAAAGCUUCUGAUUAUAUAUUUAGGUCUCCCUUUGGGAGGCUACCCUCGACAAAAGUCUUUUUGGCAACCAGUCAUUGAUCGAAUUCACAAGAAACUUGAAAGGUGGAAAAGAUAUAACAUCUCUAGAGGCGGAAGACAAACCUUAUGCAACUCAGUUCUGGUUAGCCCUCCUACAUACUACCUACUUUAUUUUCUAUACCUGAAAAUGUGGCUGCCUCUUUGUUAAAGUGAGUUUUUGAGUGAAGGAAAAGGUCUGCAAUACUCCUUGAAAGACAGGGGAAGCAGAAGAUUGGUGUUCUAUAUUCUGGUUUGCUUAUUAGUACUUUGUUGUUCGGAAUUUUGGAUUAGGAGGUUUUCUUUGUUUGAUGUUUGUGAAUUAUAUGUAACGUGACUCAUUUUCUGAGGU
RNAcentral lists this long non-coding RNA (16463 nucleotides) under Cucumis sativus (cucumber). Its description in RNAcentral is "long non-coding RNA (CSAT_LNC001167)". The record is from RNAcentral. Lineage: Eukaryota; Viridiplantae; Streptophyta; Magnoliopsida; Cucurbitales; Cucurbitaceae.